RNAcentral lists this long non-coding RNA (632 nucleotides) under Eucalyptus grandis. RNAcentral's name for it is "long non-coding RNA (EGRA_LNC001376)". Lineage: Eukaryota; Viridiplantae; Streptophyta; Magnoliopsida; Myrtales; Myrtaceae. The record is from RNAcentral.
AGCCUUCGAGGCGACUACGUCGGGACUCGAUCGAGGCGACGGUGUGGGGACGGCGGCACGGCUCGACGCAGCGUCGGGGUGUCAGCAGCAGCAGCAGCGAGAACCCAGAUCUGGACCUUGACCGACCCUCUCCCUCCGGCCGAUCUCCCUCACUCCGGUCAGAUCCGAGCCUCCACCGGCCAGAUCUGACCUCCUCGGACUCGCUCGCCGGCGGCCUCCCCCGAAGUCUCUCAGUGGGAGGUCAGCCGAGCUCGCGACCCGAGUUCUCUCUCGCUCGCUCUUCGAUUCCUCCCCCGAAGUCUCUCAGUGGGAAGAUCUCGGAGCUCGCUCGUGCUCUUCGUCGUCGACAUCGGGGGCUAUUUAUAGGCGAGGGGGUGGCCGGUCGACGGAACUUCGACCGCCGGUCCCCUUCGCGCACCGAGCGGCCCUCGACGGCCAAACCGGUGUCCCAUCCGAGCUUAUCCAGUGAAGCGUGCUCGGCAUUGAUGGCGCCCGAGAUCUUAUCCUCUCCGGUCGACGUCGGCCUACUCCCCUCGGCCGUAGGCCGUCCUUUGCGCGCGUCGUCGUCUUCUGCGCGUGAACUACAGAGGCGGAGAAAGAAGGAGCGAGGAAGAAGAAGAGGGAAGAAGAAG